AUUGAACGCUGGCGGCAUGCCUUACACAUGCAAGUCGAACGGCAGCAUGAUCUAGCUUGCUAGAUUGAUGGCGAGUGGCGAACGGGUGAGUAAUACAUCGGAACGUGCCCUGUAGUGGGGGAUAACUAGUCGAAAGAUUAGCUAAUACCGCAUACGACCUGAGGGUGAACGUGGGGGACCGCAAGGCCUCAUGCUAUAGGAGCGGCCGAUGUCUGAUUAGCUAGUUGGUGAGGUAAAGGCCCACCAAGGCGACGAUCAGUAGCUGGUCUGAGGGGACGAUCAGCAACACUGGGACUGAGACACGGCCCAGACUCCUACGGGAGGCAGCAGUGGGGAAUUUUGGACAAUGGGCGAAAGCCUGAUCCAGCAAUGCCGCGUGUGUGAAGAAGGCCUUCGGGUUGUAAAGCACUUUUGUCCGGAAAGAAAUGGCUCUGGUUAAUACCUGGGGUCGAUGACGGUACCGGAAGAAUAAGGACCGGCUAACUACGUGCCAGCCGCCGCCGUAA
This 506-nucleotide ribosomal RNA is filed under the name uncultured bacterium. RNAcentral describes it as "partial 16S ribosomal RNA". It matches the Rfam family "Bacterial small subunit ribosomal RNA", at positions 30 to 523 of the family's 1533-position model. The record is from RNAcentral.